GAUGAACGCUGGCGGCGUGCUUAACACAUGCAAGUCGAACGGAAAGGCCCAAGCUUGCUUGGGUACUCGAGUGGCGAACGGGUGAGUAACACGUGGGUGAUCUGCCCUGCACUUCGGGAUAAGCCUUGGAAACUGGGUCUAAUACCGGAUAGGACCACAUUUUGGAUGGUGUGGUGGAAAGUUUUUCGGUGUGGGAUGAGCUCGCGGCCUAUCAGCUUGUUGGUGGGGUAAUGGCCUACCAAGGCGUCGACGGGUAGCCGGCCUGAGAGGGUGUACGGCCACAUUGGGACUGAGAUACGGCCCAGACUCCUACGGGAGGCAGCAGUGGGGAAUAUUGCACAAUGGGCGCAAGCCUGAUGCAGCGACGCCGCGUGGGGGAUGACGGCCUUCGGGUUGUAAACUCCUUUCGCUAGGGACGAAGCGCAAGUGACGGUACCUGGAGAAGAAGCACCGGCUAACUACGUG
This 465-nucleotide ribosomal RNA is filed under the name uncultured bacterium. RNAcentral's name for it is "partial 16S ribosomal RNA". It matches the Rfam family "Bacterial small subunit ribosomal RNA", at positions 28 to 507 of the family's 1533-position model. The record is from RNAcentral.